CCCUUAGAUGUCCUGGGCCGCACGCGUGCUACACUGACGCCUACAGCGAGUACUUCCCAGCCCCGAGAGGUGGCUGGUAAUCAGCAAUAGGCGUCGUGAUGGGGAUAGAUCUUUGGAAUUAUGGAUCUUGAACGAGGAAUGCCUAGUAAGCGCAGGUCAUUAGCCUGCGCUGAUUAAGUCCCUGCCCUUUGUACACACCGCCCGUCGCUCCUACCGAUUCCGAGUGGUCCGGUGAAUCUUUCGGACUGCGCGCGGCCUCGUGCCGUGUCGCGGAAAGUCAGGUAAACCUUAUCACUUAGAGGAAGGAGAAGUCGUAACA
Molecule: ribosomal RNA, 319 nt
Filed under: uncultured eukaryote
Lineage: Eukaryota
Description: partial 18S ribosomal RNA
Rfam family: Eukaryotic small subunit ribosomal RNA
Source: RNAcentral